Molecule: long non-coding RNA, 1000 nt
Organism: Papaver somniferum (opium poppy)
Lineage: Eukaryota; Viridiplantae; Streptophyta; Magnoliopsida; Ranunculales; Papaveraceae
Exons: 4
Source: RefSeq, a predicted model, not a curated record
UCUUCCCUUGUUUUCUUCUCUAGAGCUGAAGCUUUAGAAGCUUAGAUCUAUAAGAAAUCUAUCUCACGAUUAUUCUCUAGAAAUCUCUUGUGUAAGAAAUCUCUUGUAUUAGGAGUGACAUUUCAGUUUGUUCAUCAUUUUUAGAUCUGUAUUAGGGUUUCAGUAUGUUCAUCUGAAAGAGAAAAGACAAACCCUAACCCAGUAAAUCAAAUCUAUUUGCUCACCUUUCACCUCCCUAUUCGAGAAACCCAGUGGUGGCGGUGGCAUCUGAGGCAUGGUAUUCUACGAUGGAGUUGGGUUUUGAGUAGGUGGUUGGUCUUUUCAGCUGGUGGAGGUUCUGUACUAGCAAUUGUUGCAUCAUGAGCUGCAGGGGGUUGAGUAGAUUCUGAAGAGAAUGAAGAUUAAUCCAACAAAUUAAAAGAAGUGAAUGAUUAAGAUGAUGAAGAAGAUGAGAGUGGUGGAGAGUAAGAAGAUGAAGAUGAUGAGUAGAAGGAAAAUCAGCUUUAGUACCCUUUUAAUUUUGGUUUUCUUAGUAAUUGUGAGGAAUUUUCAAUUGUUUGAAUUGUGAUGAUUCACUGUUACUAGAGAUGUAACUGGUUAACAGUUGAGUAGAGGGACUAGAAUCACUCUCUUUGACUGUUUCAGUGCAUUGCCUGAUAUUAAGUUUUCGUGUCUUUGUAUUUUAAACUAUUUCUACAUUUAAAAUAUAUGUUAUUUUUGAUGUGCUUCUUUUAGGUGGGUGUCAUGAAGAAAGCUGUCGAAGCUGGAAAAACUAGAAGUGCAAACGGUACCCGCCAGGAGCUUAUGAGAGUCCCUAUGAAGAUAGACAUAUGCUCCUUAUGAAGUAAUCUUCCUACUUUUACAGGAGGGAUGUAUAUGAUUUGCACCAUGCAAUCUUGGGUCUUCUAUUUGCUGUACUUAUAACUGGAGUUUUAACGGAUGCAAUCAAAGAUGAUGUCGGUCGACCACGACCUGACUUCUUUUGGCGCUGCUUUCCUGA